GGAAGGCCCUUCGGGGUACUCGAGCGGCGAACGGGUGAGUAACACGUGAGCAACCUGCCCUAGGCUUUGGGAUAACCCCGGGAAACCGGGGCUAAUACCGAAUAUGACCUUUCCUCGCAUGAGGUUUGGUGGAAAGUUUUUCGGCCUGGGAUGGGCUCGCGGCCUAUCAGCUUGUUGGUGGGGUGAUGGCCUACCAAGGCGACGACGGGUAGCCGGCCUGAGAGGGCGACCGGCCACACUGGGACUGAGACACGGCCCAGACUCCUACGGGAGGCAGCAGUGGGGAAUAUUGCACAAUGGGCGGAAGCCUGAUGCAGCGACGCCGCGUGAGGGAUGACGGCCUUCGGGUUGUAAACCUCUUUCAGCAGGGACGAAGCGUAAGUGACGGUACCUGCAGAAGAAGCGCCGGCCAACUACGUGCCAGCAGCCGCGGUAAGACGUAGGGCGCGAGCGUUGUCCGGAUUUAUUGGGCGUAAAGAGCUCGUAGGCGGCUUGUCGCGUCGACUGUGAAAACCCGCAGCUCAACUGCGGGCCUGCAGUCGAUACGGGCAGGCUAGAGUUCGGUAGGGGAGACUGGAAUUCCUGGUGUAGCGGUGAAAUGCGCAGAUAUCAGGAGGAACACCGGUGGCGAAGGCGGGUCUCUGGGCCGAUACUGACGCUGAGGAGCGAAAGCGUGGGGAGCGAACAGGAUUAGAUACCCUGGUAGUCCACGCUGUAAAC
RNAcentral lists this ribosomal RNA (720 nucleotides) under Micromonospora sp. 8-154. RNAcentral's name for it is "bacterial SSU rRNA". It matches the Rfam family "Bacterial small subunit ribosomal RNA", at positions 68 to 807 of the family's 1533-position model. The record is from RNAcentral. Lineage: Bacteria; Bacillati; Actinomycetota; Actinomycetes; Micromonosporales; Micromonosporaceae.